GGGAUAAUAAAAAUCCAUACGUGUAUAAUACUUCAGUCCUUUCUGUUUUGAAUUUUGCACUUUAACCCUCCACUUUUAACUUGAUCAUGCUAUAGCAGUUGAGUUUCAAUUUCAAUAAUACUAAACAUUUUAAUCCCUCAAAUUCUUAAUUUUUACACUAAUAGUAUUUAAGGACUAAAUUGUAUGUUUUUUAAACAACUGGUACUUAAGUGUUUUUCUAGCAAAACCUUUGGCUGGGUUAAAUUAUCUUUAUGAAAUUUUUAUGUUAUGUAAUUAAAAAGUUGAUGUUGAUUGAAUUAAUAAAUGGGUGUCUCGUGUUUUUGGCAUGCAGUGGCAAAAGAGUUACAUUGAGAAUUUUCAUAUUAAUUGUUAAAUUGUUUAGCUAGAAUUGUCUUUGGCACAAAAAGUUUGUUGUUAGCUAGAUAUUGCUAAUUUUGUUGCAUCAGCUAGACCUGGCCAGCGGUCUGGUCCGGGCCAGAUCUGCUGGCCUGUUUCUGGUUCAACUGUUAGGGUUAAUCUGGACCAGACCAAGGGUACCACCUUAGUUUUGGUCCAAGUUUUAAUCAAAUCCAAUGGUUGAAAUUUUUAAAAUUUUUAAAAUGAAAAAAAACCAGUUCUGGCCUUGACCAGACCUACUGAUUCCAGUCCGGUUUUGGUCAAUCCAGGUUUGACUGAUUUCAGUCCAGACCAUGGUCAGGUCUAGCAUCAGCCAUAGGGUUUUAUUUUGCAAUAUUUACUUGUGAACUUUUUACGCUAUCCUGAUAACAUAUGGACUUGCAUUUUAAUUAGAUGGCAUUGUCAUGGAUAUAUUCAACUAAGUUUGCAGCCAACUUCAGGAUGUUAGAAUGUUAAUCUUAGUUAGAGGCUUUUUUACCUGAACACGUACUGGAGGGCCUUCUUCUGUUAGGAGGAUCAUAAACGAUAAAUCUUAAAAACUGCUAUUCCAUGUUUUCUGGUGUAAUGGUUCAUAUAUUUUCAACAGAAACUAAUAGUUGCUUGUGAAUAAAUACCUAAGAUCAAAUGUCUAACUCAUCUUUCCUCAUUUUCAGUAUCAACUUUUGGAGCUGU
RNAcentral lists this unclassified non-coding RNA (1068 nucleotides) under Hevea brasiliensis (rubber tree). Lineage: Eukaryota; Viridiplantae; Streptophyta; Magnoliopsida; Malpighiales; Euphorbiaceae. The record is from RNAcentral.